CCUACGGGCGGCAGCAGUAGGGAAUCUUCCACAAUGGGCGAAAGCCUGAUGGAGCAACGCCGCGUGGGUGAAGAAGGUCUUCGGAUCGUAAAACCCUGUUGUUAGAGAAGAAAGUGCGUGAGAGUAACUGUUCACGUUUCGACGGUAUCUAACCAGAAAGCCACGGCUAACUACGUGCCAGCAGCCGCGGUAAUACGUAGGUGGCAAGCGUUAUCCGGAUUUAUUGGGCGUAAAGGGUACGCAGGCGGUCUUUUAAGUCUGAUGGGAAAGCCUUCGGCUUAACCGGAGUAGUGCAUUGGAAACGGGGAGACUUGAGUGCAGAAGAGGAGAGUGGAACUCCAUGUGUAGCGGUGAAAUGCGUAGAUAUAUGGAAGAACACCAGUGGCGAAAGCGGCUCUCUGGUCUGUAACUGACGCUGAGGUUCGAAAGCGUGGGUAGCAAACAGGAUUAGAUACCCGGGUAGUC
Molecule: ribosomal RNA, 465 nt
Filed under: uncultured bacterium
Lineage: Bacteria
Description: partial 16S ribosomal RNA
Rfam family: Bacterial small subunit ribosomal RNA
Source: RNAcentral